This 446-nucleotide ribosomal RNA is filed under the name uncultured bacterium. RNAcentral's name for it is "partial 16S ribosomal RNA". It matches the Rfam family "Bacterial small subunit ribosomal RNA", at positions 338 to 795 of the family's 1533-position model. The record is from RNAcentral.
CCUACGGGUGGCAGCAGUCGAGAAUCAUUCACAAUGGGGGAAACCCUGAUGGUGCGACGCCGCGUGGGGGAAUGAAGGUCUUCGGAUUGUAAACCCCUGUCAUGUGGGAGCAAAUUAAAAAGAUAGUACCACACGAGGAAGAGACGGCUAACUCUGUGCCAGCAGCCGCGGUAAUACAGAGGUAUCAAGCGUUGUUCGGAAUCACUGGGCGUAAAGCGUGCGUAGGCUGUUUCGUAAGUCGUGUGUGAAAGGCGCGGGCUCAACCCGCGGACGGCACAUGAUACUGCGAGACUAGAGUAAUGGAGGGGGAACCGGAAUUCUCGGUGUAGCAGUGAAAUGCGUAGAUAUCGAGAGGAACACUCGUGGCGAAGGCGGGUUCCUGGACAUUAACUGACGCUGAGGCACGAAGGCCAGGGGAGCGAAAGGGAUUAGAUACCCCAGUAGUC